AUACAGAGGGUGCAAGCGUUAAUCGGAUUUACUGGGCGUAAAGCGCGCGUAGGCGGCUAAUUAAGUCAAAUGUGAAAUCCCCGAGCUUAACUUGGGAAUUGCAUUCGAUACUGGUUAGCUAGAGUGUGGGAGAGGAUGGUAGAAUUCCAGGUGUAGCGGUGAAAUGCGUAGAGAUCUGGAGGAAUACCGAUGGCGAAGGCAGCCAUCUGGCCUAACACUGACGCUGAGGUGCGAAAGCGUGGGGAGCAAACAGGAUUAGAAACCCCGGUAGUCC
RNAcentral lists this ribosomal RNA (274 nucleotides) under uncultured bacterium. RNAcentral's name for it is "partial 16S ribosomal RNA". It matches the Rfam family "Bacterial small subunit ribosomal RNA", at positions 523 to 796 of the family's 1533-position model. The record is from RNAcentral.